RNAcentral lists this ribosomal RNA (632 nucleotides) under Salmonella enterica subsp. enterica serovar Heidelberg. Its description in RNAcentral is "partial 23S ribosomal RNA". It matches the Rfam family "Bacterial large subunit ribosomal RNA", at positions 711 to 1339 of the family's 2925-position model. The record is from RNAcentral. Lineage: Bacteria; Pseudomonadati; Pseudomonadota; Gammaproteobacteria; Enterobacterales; Enterobacteriaceae.
AGACCCGAAACCCGGUGAUCUAGCCAUGGGCAGGUUGAAGGUUGGGUAACACUAACUGGAGGACCGAACCGACUAAUGUUGAAAAAUUAGCGGAUGACCUGUGGCUGGGGGUGAAAGGCCAAUCAAACCGGGAGAUAGCUGGUUCUCCCCGAAAGCUAUUUAGGUAGCGCCUCGUGAAUUCAUCUCCGGGGGUAGAGCACUGUUUCGGCUAGGGGGCCAUCCCGGCUUACCAACCCGAUGCAAACUGCGAAUACCGGAGAAUGUUAUCACGGGAGACACACGGCGGGUGCUAACGUCCGUCGUGAAGAGGGAAACAACCCAGACCGCCAGCUAAGGUCCCAAAGUCAUGGUUAAGUGGGAAACGAUGUGGGAAGGCCCAGACAGCCAGGAUGUUGGCUUAGAAGCAGCCAUCAUUUAAAGAAAGCGUAAUAGCUCACUGGUCGAGUCGGCCUGCGCGGAAGAUGUAACGGGGCUAAACCAUGCACCGAAGCUGCGGCAGCGACGCUGAUGCGUUGUUGGGUAGGGGAGCGUUCUGUAAGCCUGCGAAGGUGACCUGUGAGGGUUGCUGGAGGUAUCAGAAGUGCGAAUGCUGACAUAAGUAACGAUAAAGCGGGUGAAAAGCCCGCUCGCCG